AGAGUUUGAUCCUGGCUCAGGAUGAACGCUGGCGGCGUGCCUAAUACAUGCAAGUCGAGCGAACGGACGAGAAGCUUGCUUCUCUGAUGUUAGCGGCGGACGGGUGAGUAACACGUGGAUAACCUACCUAUAAGACUGGGAUAACUUCGGGAAACCGGAGCUAAUACCGGAUAAUAUUUUGAACCGCAUGGUUCAAAAGUGAAAGACGGUCUUGCUGUCACUUAUAGAUGGAUCCGCGCUGCAUUAGCUAGUUGGUAAGGUAACGGCUUACCAAGGCAACGAUGCAUAGCCGACCUGAGAGGGUGAUCGGCCACACUGGAACUGAGACACGGUCCAGACUCCUACGGGAGGCAGCAGUAGGGAAUCUUCCGCAAUGGGCGAAAGCCUGACGGAGCAACGCCGCGUGAGUGAUGAAGGUCUUCGGAUCGUAAAACUCUGUUAUUAGGGAAGAACAUAUGUGUAAGUAACUGUGCACAUCUUGACGGUACCUAAUCAGAAAGCCACGGCUAACUACGUGCCAGCAGCCGCGGUAAUACGUAGGUGGCAAGCGUUAUCCGGAAUUAUUGGGCGUAAAGCGCGCGUAGGCGGUUUUUUAAGUCUGAUGUGAAAGCCCACGGCUCAACCGUGGAGGGUCAUUGGAAACUGGAAAACUUGAGUGCAGAAGAGGAAAGUGGAAUUCCAUGUGUAGCGGUGAAAUGCGCAGAGAUAUGGAGGAACACCAGUGGCGAAGGCGACUUUCUGGUCUGUAACUGACGCUGAUGUGCGAAAGCGUGGGGAUCAAACAGGAUUAGAUACCCUGGUAGUCCACGCCGUAAACGAUGAGUGCUAAGUGUUAGGGGGUUUCCGCCCCUUAGUGCUGCAGCUAACGCAUUAAGCACUCCGCCUGGGGAGUACGACCGCAAGGUUGAAACUCAAAGGAAUUGACGGGGACCCGCACAAGCGGUGGAGCAUGUGGUUUAAUUCGAAGCAACGCGAAGAACCUUACCAAAUCUUGACAUCCUUUGACAACUCUAGAGAUAGAGCUUUCCCCUUCGGGGGACAAAGUGACAGGUGGUGCAUGGUUGUCGUCAGCUCGUGUCGUGAGAUGUUGGGUUAAGUCCCGCAACGAGCGCAACCCUUAAGCUUAGUUGCCAUCAUUAAGUUGGGCACUCUAAGUUGACUGCCGGUGACAAACCGGAGGAAGGUGGGGAUGACGUCAAAUCAUCAUGCCCCUUAUGAUUUGGGCUACACACGUGCUACAAUGGACAAUACAAAGGGCAGCGAAACCGCGAGGUCAAGCAAAUCCCAUAAAGUUGUUCUCAGUUCGGAUUGUAGUCUGCAACUCGACUACAUGAAGCUGGAAUCGCUAGUAAUCGUAGAUCAGCAUGCUACGGUGAAUACGUUCCCGGGUCUUGUACACACCGCCCGUCACACCACGAGAGUUUG
RNAcentral lists this ribosomal RNA (1425 nucleotides) under Staphylococcus aureus. Its description in RNAcentral is "bacterial SSU rRNA". It matches the Rfam family "Bacterial small subunit ribosomal RNA". The record is from RNAcentral. Lineage: Bacteria; Bacillati; Bacillota; Bacilli; Caryophanales; Staphylococcaceae.